RNAcentral lists this non-coding RNA (30 nucleotides) under Cricetulus griseus (Chinese hamster). Lineage: Eukaryota; Metazoa; Chordata; Mammalia; Rodentia; Cricetidae. The record is from RNAcentral.
UACGUGACUGUUCCUGGUAUUGAUUGCAUU